Molecule: ribosomal RNA, 460 nt
Filed under: uncultured bacterium
Lineage: Bacteria
Description: partial 16S ribosomal RNA
Rfam family: Bacterial small subunit ribosomal RNA
Source: RNAcentral
CCUACGGGAUGCAGCAGUGAGGAAUAUUGGUCAAUGGACGGAAGUCUGAACCAGCCAUGCCGCGUGCAGGAAGACGGCUCUAUGAGUUGUAAACUGCUUUUGCACAAGGGUAAACCUGAAUACGUGAAUUCAGCUGAAAGUACUGUACGUAUAAGGAUCGGCCAACCCCGUGCCAGCAGCCGGGGUAAUACGGAGGAUCCAAGCGUUACUCGGAUUUAUUGGGCUUAAAGGGUUCGUAGGCGGAUUGAUAAGUUAGAGGUGAAAUGUCCGAGCUUAACUCGGGAACUGCCUCUAAUACUGUUGAUCUAGAGAGUAGAUGCGGUAGGCGGAAUGUAUGGUGUAGCGGUGAAAUGCUUAGAGAUCAUACGGAACACCGAUUGCGAAGGCGGCUUACCAAUCUAUAUCUGACGUUGAGGCGCGAAAGCGUGGGGAGCAAACAGGAUUAGAUACCCCGGUAGUC